This 515-nucleotide unclassified non-coding RNA is filed under the name Hevea brasiliensis (rubber tree). The record is from RNAcentral. Lineage: Eukaryota; Viridiplantae; Streptophyta; Magnoliopsida; Malpighiales; Euphorbiaceae.
UAAUUACCACCACCAAUCAUGAAAACCAUAGCUUCUUUAAAUGGCCCUUUGAGAUGGCUGCUACCAGCCCCUGACUUGGGAGCACGAGGAUCAAACACAAGGUAAGAGUCAAUUUCAGGAUUAGGUUUACCCUCCAUCAAAGCUUCCACAAUCCUUGUUAAUGCUAGCUGCCUAUCACUGGAUAAUAAAUUCUUCACACCAGCCGUCACAGCACUAAUUGACUGUCCAUAAAGCUUUUCGGCCCAAUCUACAAUAUUACUCCUACUUGCAGAAUUUGCUGAUGCCAGUGAAACAUUCAAGGACUUGAUUUUCUUCACAUACUGGAAUGCACAAGUAUCAACCUCAGACUCCCUAAGAGCUGCUUCCACUGAUUCAGCUUCUGACUGGUUAAUGCUAUCAGAUGAUAUAAGGUAAAUGAUUGCAAAUCUCAACUUAUCCAUCUUGGACCCUUUCCCUCUAAGCACUCCCAAAAGUUCAUUUCGAUCAAUCCCACCUCUGACCAUCAUGUCAUUCUC